CUGCAGCCCCAUCUCAGCAAAUGACAGCCCCUCAGGUGGAAGCCAUGAGCAUCCCAAGCCUGGGUUCAGCUCCAGAAAGCAUCCAAGGUAACGACACGGUAAAUGUUACAGGAUGUUGACAGAUUUCCCUUCUGGGGGCUGCAAUGACCAUCUAGAAGGAGGAGGGGGCAUCUCUGUUGUCUGCUUCAUGAUGUGCCUUGUAUCACCACGCUGCAGUCGUGUCA
Molecule: long non-coding RNA, 224 nt
Filed under: Gallus gallus (chicken)
Lineage: Eukaryota; Metazoa; Chordata; Aves; Galliformes; Phasianidae
Description: long non-coding RNA NONGGAT004491
Source: RNAcentral